UACGGAGGGUGCAAGCGUUAAUCGGAAUUACUGGGCGUAAAGCGUACGCAGGCGGUUUGUUAAGUCAGAUGUGAAAUCCCCGGGCUCAACCUGGGAACUGCAUUUGAUACUGGCAAGCUAGAGUACCGUAGAGGGGGAUGGAAUUCCAGGUGUAGCGGUGAAAUGCGUAGAGAUCUGGAGGAAUACCGGUGGCGAAGGCGGCCCCCUGGGCGAAGACUGACGCUCAUGUGCGAAAGCGUGGGGAGCAAACAGG
This 253-nucleotide ribosomal RNA is filed under the name uncultured bacterium. Its description in RNAcentral is "partial 16S ribosomal RNA". It matches the Rfam family "Bacterial small subunit ribosomal RNA", at positions 524 to 776 of the family's 1533-position model. The record is from RNAcentral.